This 274-nucleotide ribosomal RNA is filed under the name uncultured bacterium. Its description in RNAcentral is "partial 16S ribosomal RNA". It matches the Rfam family "Bacterial small subunit ribosomal RNA", at positions 523 to 796 of the family's 1533-position model. The record is from RNAcentral.
AUACGGAGGGUGCAAGCGUUAUUCGGAAUCACUGGGCGUAAAGGACGCGUAGGCGGGUUGGCAAGUCAGAUGUGAAAUCCUACAGCUUAACUGUAGAACUGCAUUUGAAACUGCUAACCUAGAGUAUGGGAGGGGGAGAAGGAAUUAGUGGUGUAGGGGUAAAAUCCGUAGAUAUCACUAGGAAUACCGAAAGCGAAGGCGAUCUCCUGGAACAUAACUGACGCUAAGGCGUGAAAGCGUGGGGAGCAAACAGGAUUAGAAACCCUAGUAGUCC